CCAUACCGCGUGGGUGAAGAAGGCCUUCGGGUUGUAAAGCCCUUUUGUUGGGAAAGAAAUCCUAUCGAUUAAUACUCGGUGGGGAUGACGGUACCCAAAGAAUAAGCACCGGCUAACUUCGUGCCAGCAGCCGCGGUAAUACGAAGGGUGCAAGCGUUACUCGGAAUUACUGGGCGUAAAGCGUGCGUAGGUGGUGGUUUAAGUCUGUCGUGAAAGCCCUGGGCUCAACCUGGGAAUUGCGAUGGAUACUGGAUCACUAGAGUGUGGUAGAGGGAUGCGGAAUUUCCGGUGUAGCAGUGAAAUGCGUAGAGAUCGGAAGGAACAUCUGUGGCGAAGGCGGCAUCCUGGGCCAACACUGACACUGAGGCACGAAAGCGUGGGGAGCAAACAGGAUUAGAUACCCUGGUAGUCCACACCCUAAACGAUGCGAACUGGAUGUUGGGUGCAACUUGGCACCCAGUAUCGAAGCUAACGCGUUAAGUUCGCCGCCUGGGGAGUACGGUCGCAAGACUG
Molecule: ribosomal RNA, 513 nt
Filed under: uncultured Pseudomonadota bacterium
Lineage: Bacteria; Pseudomonadati; Pseudomonadota
Description: bacterial SSU rRNA
Rfam family: Bacterial small subunit ribosomal RNA
Source: RNAcentral